ACUGUCCCUAAGUGUUGCAGAUGUGGAUGCUAUGUCACAUGUGUGUCAGUAGGUGGCAGAGAAGAGAAAGGCUGUGUGUAUGCUCAGUGUUCUGACCUAUGAACAUCUAGAUGAUUACUGAACUAAAAUU
Grammomys surdaster is the source of this 130-nucleotide small nucleolar RNA. RefSeq annotates it as small nucleolar RNA SNORA17. The transcript has a single exon. NCBI's taxonomy places the organism in Eukaryota, Metazoa, Chordata, Mammalia, Rodentia, Muridae. The record is from RefSeq and is a predicted model, not a curated record.